Capsicum annuum is the source of this 456-nucleotide long non-coding RNA. RefSeq lists it as uncharacterized. The transcript is spliced from 3 exons. The record is from RefSeq and is a predicted model, not a curated record. NCBI's taxonomy places the organism in Eukaryota, Viridiplantae, Streptophyta, Magnoliopsida, Solanales, Solanaceae.
UUGAAUUUGUAAUAAUCUUGGAAUUGUAAACUAAUCAUGAAGCGUUCAAACAAAGCAGCAGAAUUAACAAUUAAAUAAAAAGACUAAGAUGAUAAUGGUUAUUAAUACAAUCCAAAAGUAGUUGUAUUUUAAUAAUCUUGGAAUUGUAAAUCUGGAUCUACCUAUUACAUUUUACACUUGAUUUACCAAAGUACUUCAACUACUCUGACAAAAUCAUUUUGAUCCCAUAGAUAGCAUAUUCUAUUUGCUAUUGUUCAAGAUUGUUUCUCAAACAAGAUAACUUACCCUCUUUGCCACUGGUCAACACUAUUUCUCAAACAAGGACUUCUAUCGCUGAACUUCAGACCGUAAAAAGAUUAGGAGAAUUUGACUUGUGAAACUUUAAAGACACUUAUAGUCAUGGAAAAACAAGGAGCAACAGAGAAAUGGAAAGCAAACAAUUUUCAGGUAUGUCAU